Molecule: ribosomal RNA, 498 nt
Filed under: uncultured soil bacterium
Lineage: Bacteria
Description: bacterial SSU rRNA
Rfam family: Bacterial small subunit ribosomal RNA
Source: RNAcentral
AGAUUGAACGCUGGCGGCAGGCCUAACACAUGCAAGUCGAGCGGCAGCACGGGUACUUGUACCUGGUGGCGAGCGGCGGACGGGUGAGUAAUGCCUAGGAAUCUGCCUGGUAGUGGGGGAUAACGCUCGGAAACGGACGCUAAUACCGCAUACGUCCUACGGGAGAAAGCAGGGGACCUUCGGGCCUUGCGCUAUCAGAUGAGCCUAGGUCGGAUUAGCUAGUUGGUGAGGUAAUGGCUCACCAAGGCGACGAUCCGUAACUGGUCUGAGAGGAUGAUCAGUCACACUGGAACUGAGACACGGUCCAGACUCCUACGGGAGGCAGCAGUGGGGAAUAGUUGGACAAUGGGACGAAAGCCGUGAUCCAGCCAUGCCGCGUGUGUGAAGAGGUCUUCGGAUUGAAAGCACUUUAAGUGGAGAAGGCUAGUUACUAAUACGUAUCGUGUUUUGACGUUACGACAGUAAUAAGCAACCGGUCUAACGUCUGUCGCCAGACCG